Molecule: small RNA, 442 nt
Filed under: Pongo abelii (Sumatran orangutan)
Lineage: Eukaryota; Metazoa; Chordata; Mammalia; Primates; Hominidae
Description: retained intron
Source: RNAcentral
GAAAUGUGUCUGAAAUUUAGUAAAGCUUUAUAUAACUUGAAGGUUGUUUUUUGAAAUUUACACAUUCAGAAAUAAAUAACAAAUACUUUUUUUUCCCCUCCAAAUAAAACUCCAAAACAGCUUUUGUCCCAGUUUGUUUCUCCAUUUACUGGAUGCAUUUAUGGAAGGCACAUUACAGGUCUUUGUGGGAAGAAACAGAAAGAAAUCACAAAAGCAAUUAAGAGAGCUCAAAUAAUGGGUAAGAAAGAAUACCUCGACAACUGAAUUGAGCUAGCUGAAAUUUUGCUCAUUAUGUUUUGUCAAGAACUUUAAUUAUCUCUUUACAGGGUUUAUGCCAGUUACAUACAAGGAUCCUGCAUAUCUCAAGGACCCUAAAGUUUGUAACAUCAGAUAUCGGGAAUAAAUUCUAUCACGUUACCACUAAUAAACUUAUUUUACAGUA